Molecule: ribosomal RNA, 465 nt
Filed under: uncultured bacterium
Lineage: Bacteria
Description: partial 16S ribosomal RNA
Rfam family: Bacterial small subunit ribosomal RNA
Source: RNAcentral
CCUACGUGAGGCAGCAGUGGGGAAUAUUGCGCAAUGGGCGAAAGCCUGACGCAGCGACGCCGCGUGAGGGAUGAAGGUCUUCGGAUCGUAAACCUCUGUCAGCAGGGAAGAACGGUCACUGUGCUAAUCAGCAGUGAAUUGACGGUACCUGCAAAGGAAGCACCGGCUAACUCCGUGCCAGCAGCCGCGGUAAUACGGAGGGUGCGAGCGUUAAUCGGAAUUACUGGGCGUAAAGCGCUCGUAGGCGGUAUGUCAAGUCAAGUGUGAAAUCCCCGCGCGCAACGUGGGAACUGCCUUUGAAACUGGCAAACUGGAGUGUGUGAGAGGAUAGUGGAAUUCCAGGUGUAGGAGUGAAAUCCGUAGAUAUCUGGAGGAACAUCAGUGGCGAAGGCGACUAUCUGGCACAUAACUGACGCUGAGGAGCGAAAGCGUGGGUAGCAAACAGGAUUAGAUACCCGGGUAGUC